RNAcentral lists this ribosomal RNA (406 nucleotides) under uncultured bacterium. Its description in RNAcentral is "partial 16S ribosomal RNA". It matches the Rfam family "Bacterial small subunit ribosomal RNA", at positions 28 to 526 of the family's 1533-position model. The record is from RNAcentral.
GACGAACGCUGGCGGCGUGCUUAACACAUGCAAGUCGAACGAGCGGCGGACGGGUGAGUAAUGUCUGGGAAACUGCCUGAUGGAGGGGGAUAACUACUGGAAACGGUAGCUAAUACCGCAUACCAUCAGAUGUGCCCAGAUGGGAUUAGCUAGUAGGUGGGGUAACGGCUCACCUAGGCGACGAUCCCUAGCUGGUCUGGGAGGAUGACCAGCCACACGGGAACUGAGACAGGUGCCAGACUCCUACGGGGGGCAGCAGUGGGGAAUAUUGCACAAUGGGCGCAAGCCGGAUGCAGCCAUGCCGCGUGUGUGAGGAAGGCCUUCGGGUUGUAAAGCACUUUCAGCGGGGAGGCGGUACCCGCAGAAGAAGCACCGGCUAACUCCGUGCCAGCAGCCGCGGUAAUAC